GACGAACGCUGGCGGCGUGCUUAACACAUGCAAGUCGAACGGAAAGGCCCCUUUGGGGGUACUCGAGUGGCGAACGGGUGAGUAACACGUGAGUAACCUGCCCUUGACUUCGGGAUGACUUCAGGAAACUGGGGCUAAUACCGGAUAGGAAUCCUUGCUGCAUGGUGGGGGUUGGAAAGCUUCGGCGGUUUUGGAUGGACUCGCGGCUUAUCAGCUUGUUGGUGGGGUAGUGGCUUACCAAGGCUUUGACGGGUAGCCGGCCUGAGAGGGCGACCGGCCACAUUGGGACUGAGAUACGGCCCAGACUCCUACGGGAGGCAGCAGUGGGGAAUAUUGCACAAUGGGCGGAAGCCUGAUGCAGCAACGCCGCGUGCGGGAUGACGGCCUUCGGGUUGUAAACCGCUUUCAGCAGGGGCGAAGCUUGUGGUGACGGUACCUGCAGAAGAAGCACCGGCUAACUACGUG
This 465-nucleotide ribosomal RNA is filed under the name uncultured bacterium. Its description in RNAcentral is "partial 16S ribosomal RNA". It matches the Rfam family "Bacterial small subunit ribosomal RNA", at positions 28 to 507 of the family's 1533-position model. The record is from RNAcentral.